Molecule: ribosomal RNA, 465 nt
Filed under: Vreelandella stevensii
Lineage: Bacteria; Pseudomonadati; Pseudomonadota; Gammaproteobacteria; Oceanospirillales; Halomonadaceae
Description: partial 16S ribosomal RNA
Rfam family: Bacterial small subunit ribosomal RNA
Source: RNAcentral
CCUACGGGUGGCUGCAGUGGGGAAUAUUGGACAAUGGGGGGAACCCUGAUCCAGCCAUGCCGCGUGUGUGAAGAAGGCCCUCGGGUUGUAAAGCACUUUCAGUGAGGAAGAACGCCUGGUGGUUAAUACCCAUCAGGAAAGACAUCACUCACAGAAGAAGCACCGGCUAACUCCGUGCCAGCAGCCGCGGUAAUACGGAGGGUGCGAGCGUUAAUCGGAAUUACUGGGCGUAAAGCGCGCGUAGGUGGCUUGAUAAGUCGGUUGUGAAAGCCCCGGGCUCAACCUGGGAACGGCAUCCGGAACUGUCAAGCUAGAGUGCAGGAGAGGAAGGUAGAAUUCCCGGUGUAGCGGUGAAAUGCGUAGAGAUCGGGAGGAAUACCAGUGGCGAAGGCGGCCUUCUGGACUGACACUGACACUGAGGUGCGAAAGCGUGGGUAGCAAACAGGAUUAGAUACCCGUGUAGUC